CACGUAGGGUGCGAGCGUUGUCCGGAAUUAUUGGGCGUAAAGAGCUCGUAGGCGGUGUGUCGCGUCGGCCGUGAAAACUCAGGGCUUAACCCUGAGCCUGCUUCCGAUACGGGCAGACUAGAGGUAUGCAGGGGAGAACGGAAUUCCUGGUGUAGCGGUGAAAUGCGCAGAUAUCAGGAGGAACACCGGUGGCGAAGGCGGUUCUCUGGGCAUUACCUGACGCUGAGGAGCGAAAGUGUGGGGAGCGAACAGG
RNAcentral lists this ribosomal RNA (253 nucleotides) under uncultured bacterium. RNAcentral describes it as "partial 16S ribosomal RNA". It matches the Rfam family "Bacterial small subunit ribosomal RNA", at positions 524 to 776 of the family's 1533-position model. The record is from RNAcentral.